GAUGAACGCUAGCGGCAGGCUUAAUACAUGCAAGUCGAGGGGCAGCACGAAUAGCAAUAUUUGGUGGCGACCGGCGCACGGGUGCGUAACACGUAUACAACCUACCUAUAACAGGGGGAUAGCCUUUCGAAAGAGAGAUUAAUACCCCGUAAUAAAUUGAGUGGCAUCACUUGAUUUUGAAAGCUACGGCGGUUAUAGAUGGGUAUGCGUCUGAUUAGCUAGUUGGUGAGGUAACGGCUCACCAAGGCGACGAUCAGUAGGGGAUCUGAGAGGACUAACCCCACACUGGUACUGAGACACGGACCAGACUCCUACGGGAGGCAGCAGUAAGGAAUAUUGGUCAAUGGAAGGCAACUCUGAACCAGCCAUGCCGCGUGCAGGAUGACGGCCCUAUGGGUUGUAAACUGCUUUUGUACCAGAGAAAACCUACUCACGUGUGAGUAGCUGAUAGUAUGGUAAGAAUAAGCAUCGGCUAACUUCGUGCCAGCC
This 489-nucleotide ribosomal RNA is filed under the name uncultured bacterium. RNAcentral describes it as "bacterial SSU rRNA". It matches the Rfam family "Bacterial small subunit ribosomal RNA", at positions 28 to 513 of the family's 1533-position model. The record is from RNAcentral.